CGAAGUAAAGGGCACUUGCAGCCUCUCAUCAGAGGCUGCAUUACCCCUACUUACAGCGUCCCUGUCAGUACACAACGGGAGUCGACGUCUUUAUUUUAAUUGUGUUUUGGGGACUACUGAAUUUGUGAUAAAACAAAGAAUAAAUGUAAUUUUAAGGCUGUUUUCAUGUAGCCUAGUUACGUUCUUAUUUCAGAGCUAGGGCACAGCAGCAUAACCAUUUCAACAAGGACAUAAUACUACUCGCAAAUCCAUCAUGGGGAAUAGUGUACAAACAAGGUGCAAGAUUACGGCUACACAAACAUGGCCACACCCUCAGUGCCUUUGAAUUCCAGAAGGCCUGGGUCCACCAGAUUGUUAUAGAACUCAUCAGGGAUGGCUUCGGUGAGCACAUUCCGGAGGAUGUCAGCAUCCAGUUACUAAUGGCUUGUGGCAAUAAACUGGUGUCCCCUAAGAUCCAGGAGGGACAUGAGCUGAAUGGGAUGUUAAUCCAUAAGGUUUAUGUAACCAAAGCCCUGCAUGUGAGACCAUAAAGGAACUUUUUAACUGACUCGGAAGAAGAAAAUGAACUUUCCCACGUCAUUACCUCAUCAACGUCAACGUCAAGCAUGCUUGCAACUGCUGAGGACAGUGAUGAUGAUGGUCAUGUAGUUGAUGGUCUGCAAGUCCACAUAGGCAUUAGGGUGACCACCUGCUAAUAAGCCCAAGGGGGGACAAGGGGUAUGUUUCGGGGGGACAAUGGGGGACACUGCCUGGUGCGGCGGUGCCCCCACCUCACGGGCAGACUCACUGAUAGUGGUUUACCCAUUUCUAGCACAUACCACCUUACAUGAUAUAUAAAAAAUGCCCUAUUCCCCUAAACAUGUGUAAUUACUGAUGUAUGCUCAUGAAUAGGCCAACCAAUGUGUAUUUUUUUCUAAAUAAAGAUUCAGAAUACUUUGAACAUUCAAUGAAUUGACACACAGAUGCACUUCCACUCACGAUUUACUUUAGCUAUUUAAUUGUAUUUAUUUUUCAUUACAAUUUAUUCACUUUAAAUAAAUUCUAAUGUGAAAUUAUAGGAUUAACAUCGUAGUUGCUCAACAC
Gadus macrocephalus (Pacific cod) is the source of this 1083-nucleotide long non-coding RNA. RefSeq lists it as uncharacterized. NCBI's taxonomy places the organism in Eukaryota, Metazoa, Chordata, Actinopteri, Gadiformes, Gadidae. The transcript has 3 exons. The record is from RefSeq and is a predicted model, not a curated record.